Molecule: ribosomal RNA, 413 nt
Filed under: uncultured bacterium
Lineage: Bacteria
Description: bacterial SSU rRNA
Rfam family: Bacterial small subunit ribosomal RNA
Source: RNAcentral
GUGCCAGCCGCCGCGGUAAUACGAAGGGUGCAAGCGUUACUCGGAAUUACUGGGCGUAAAGCGUGCGUAGGUGGUUUGUUAAGUCUGAUGUGAAAGCCCUGGGCUCAACCUGGGAAUUGCAUUGGAUACUGGCAGGCUAGAGUGCGGUAGAGGGUAGUGGAAUUCCCGGUGUAGCAGUGAAAUGCGUAGAGAUCGGGAGGAACAUCUGUGGCGAAGGCGACUACCUGGACCAGCACUGACACUGAGGCACGAAAGCGUGGGGAGCAAACAGGAUUAGAUACCCUGGUAGUCCACGCCCUAAACGAUGCGAACUGGAUGUUGGGCUCAACUUGGAGCUCAGUAUCGAAGCUAACGCGUUAAGUUCGCCGCCUGGGGAGUACGGUCGCAAGACUGAAACUCAAAGAAAUUGACGG